RNAcentral lists this ribosomal RNA (480 nucleotides) under uncultured bacterium. Its description in RNAcentral is "partial 16S ribosomal RNA". It matches the Rfam family "Bacterial small subunit ribosomal RNA", at positions 29 to 507 of the family's 1533-position model. The record is from RNAcentral.
AUGAACGCUGGCGGCGUGCUUAACCCAUGCCAGUCGCACGAAGCAUUUGCGACAGAUUUUUUCGGAAUGAAGUUGCUUAUGACUGAGUGGCGGACGGGUGAGUAACGCGUGGGUAACCUGCCUUGUACUGGGGGAUAGCAGCUGGAAACGGCUGGUAAUACCGCAUAAGCGCACAAUGUUGCAUGACAUGGUGUGAAAAACUCCGGUGGUAUAAGAUGGACCCGCGUCUGAUUAGCUAGUUGGUGAGAUAACAGCCCACCAAGGCGACGAUCAGUAGCCGACCUGAGAGGGUGACCGGCCACAUUGGGACUGAGACACGGCCCAGACUCCUACGGGAGGCAGCAGUGGGGAAUAUUGCACAAUGGAGGAAACUCUGAUGCAGCGACGCCGCGUGAGUGAAGAAGUAAUUCGUUAUGUAAAGCUCUAUCAGCAGGGAAGAUAGUGACGGUACCUGACUAAGAAGCUCCGGCUAAAUACGUG